Molecule: long non-coding RNA, 553 nt
Organism: Phacochoerus africanus (Common warthog)
Lineage: Eukaryota; Metazoa; Chordata; Mammalia; Artiodactyla; Suidae
Exons: 8
Source: RefSeq, a predicted model, not a curated record
UCCACGCAGUCAUCGACAAAGCAUCUGAACAGUUGUAAAAUGUUCACUUUGCGGCGUUUUCGCAUUCCUAAUGCUGGAUGUCCUUUUAAAGAGGGAGAGUCAGCUUUCAGUAUAUGCAACCGACACUGCCGUCUGAAGUUGGAAUAAUGAUUUGUGCUGUCACUAAUCCAGCCUCCCUUGAUGAAAUGGCUGAACAGGCAGCGGUGGUCCUCAAUUGUGUCAGACCAAACUAAUGUAUUGAAAGUAUCACAAGAAAGCUGCAGAAAAAGGGGUUUAUAUCAUUGGAAGUGGUGACUUUGACUCCAUUCCAGCAGAUCUGGGAGUAAUAUAUACCAGAAAUAAAAUGAAUGGUACACUGACUGCUGUGGAAAGUUUUCUGACUCUACAUUCAGGACCUGAGCUUUCCUACAUGACCUCGGUCACAGACUUCAUGGUACCAUCUUGUGACUGGACGUGUCAUGGUGAUUGUGAUUGAUCGCUGUGUUCCUGCAAAGCAAAGUGGUUCUUGCCUCUUGCCAUAGAUUAAUCGACCAAAGCAUACGGAAGUUCCCUG